RNAcentral lists this ribosomal RNA (465 nucleotides) under Vreelandella stevensii. RNAcentral describes it as "partial 16S ribosomal RNA". It matches the Rfam family "Bacterial small subunit ribosomal RNA", at positions 338 to 795 of the family's 1533-position model. The record is from RNAcentral. Lineage: Bacteria; Pseudomonadati; Pseudomonadota; Gammaproteobacteria; Oceanospirillales; Halomonadaceae.
CCUACGGGCGGCAGCAGUGGGGAAUAUUGGACAAUGGGGGGAACCCUGAUCCAGCCAUGCCGCGUGUGUGAAGAAGGCCCUCGGGUUGUAAAGCACUUUCAGUGAGGAAGAACGCCUGGUGGUUAAUACCCAUCAGGAAAGACAUCACUCACAGAAGAAGCACCGGCUAACUCCGUGCCAGCAGCCGCGGUAAUACGGAGGGUGCGAGCGUUAAUCGGAAUUACUGGGCGUAAAGCGCGCGUAGGUGGCUUGAUAAGCCGGUUGUGAAAGCCCCGGGCUCAACCUGGGAACGGCAUCCGGAACUGUCAAGCUAGAGUGCAGGAGAGGAAGGUAGAAUUCCCGGUGUAGCGGUGAAAUGCGUAGAGAUCGGGAGGAAUACCAGUGGUGAAGGCGGCCUUCUGGACUGACACUGACACUGAGGUGCGAAAGCGUGGGUAGCAAACAGGAUUAGAUACCCCUGUAGUC